This 249-nucleotide ribosomal RNA is filed under the name uncultured archaeon. RNAcentral's name for it is "partial 16S ribosomal RNA". It matches the Rfam family "Archaeal small subunit ribosomal RNA", at positions 478 to 727 of the family's 1478-position model. The record is from RNAcentral.
GGCGCCUCAAGUGGUAGUCGAUUUUAUUGGGCCUAAAACGUCCGUAGCCUGUUUGGUACAUUCGUGGGUAAAUCAACCAGCUCAACUGAUUGAAUUCUGCGAGCACGGCCAGACUUGGGACCGGGAGAGGUGUGGGGUACGCUCAGGGUAGGGGUAAAAUCCUGUCAUCCUGAGCGGACCACCUGUUGCGAAGGCGCCACACUAGAACGGAUCCGACGGUCAGGGACGAAGCCUAGGGGCACGAACCGG